This is a long non-coding RNA of Pseudomyrmex gracilis, 493 nucleotides long. RefSeq lists it as uncharacterized. The record is from RefSeq and is a predicted model, not a curated record. Lineage: Eukaryota; Metazoa; Arthropoda; Insecta; Hymenoptera; Formicidae. The transcript has 2 exons.
AUACAUGUUUUUCACCUGUUUCGCGUAAGUCACUGACGUCAAUUGACAUUGCGAUUUGCGCAGUUUUCUCGGCGAUUUAGAGAAAGAUGUUUGCGAACGGUUUGAGAAAUGCGUCCCGUUUAUCGGGAAUUGUCAGCAGGUCGUAUCACAACUCAAUUGUCAGCGCUCCGCCUGAAGUAAGAAUUUCUACCCUGGAAUUAGCAGGAUCUCUCCUGCUCUUUGGUUCAUCUAUACUAGUAUGGCCCAUGUACUUCGUACCUAAUUUCAAAAACUUUGCCAAAUCUAAGAAGUAAAACACUAAAAUAUGAGAUUUUAGAUUUACAAAAAUGUAAUGUUACUAGCUCGAAGUUUGUAUAAGUUAAAGUUACAUUAUUUAAAGUAUCUACAACGUGAGACAGAUUUAUAUUGUGUCCAGUAUGUCCAGUCAAUAGAAACCAGGUUUAGAAGUUUCUGGAUCGUCAAAAUAAAGAUGCACAAGUAGUCUCAAAAUGAA